GAUGAACGCUAGCGGGAGGCCUAAUACAUGCAAGUCGAACGGUAAAUGGUAGCAAUACUAUGAGAGUGGCGUACGGGUGCGUAACGCGUACACAACCUGCCUUGUACUGGGGGAUAGCCUCGGGAAACUGAGAUUAAUACCACAUAAUUUUACGAUGUGGCAUCACAUUGUAAUUAAAGCUCCGGCGGUACAAGAUGGGUGUGCGUCCGAUUAGGUAGUUGGUGAGGUAACGGCUCACCGAGCCGACGAUCGGUAGCUGGUCUGAGAGGACGAUCAGCCACACGGGCACUGAGACACGGGCCCGACUCCUACGGGAGGCAGCAGUAGGGAAUAUUGGACAAUGGACGCAAGUCUGAUCCAGCCAUCCCGCGUGAAGGAUUAAGGCCCUCUGGGUUGUAAACUUCUUUUCUUUGGGAAUAAAAAGCGGUAUUCAUAUCGCCUUGAAGGUACCAGGGGAAUAAGCACCGGCUAACUCCGUGCCAGCCGCCGCGGUAA
Molecule: ribosomal RNA, 495 nt
Filed under: uncultured bacterium
Lineage: Bacteria
Description: partial 16S ribosomal RNA
Rfam family: Bacterial small subunit ribosomal RNA
Source: RNAcentral